Molecule: ribosomal RNA, 253 nt
Filed under: uncultured bacterium
Lineage: Bacteria
Description: partial 16S ribosomal RNA
Rfam family: Bacterial small subunit ribosomal RNA
Source: RNAcentral
UACGUAGGGUGCGAGCGUUAAUCGGAAUUACUGGGCGUAAAGCGUGCGUAGGCGGUUCGUUAAGUUCGUUGUGAAAGCCCCGGGCUCAACCUGGGAAUGGCAAUGGAAACUGGCGGGCUGGAGUAUGGCAGAGGGGGGUGGAAUUCCGCGUGUAGCAGUGAAAUGCGUAGAGAUGCGGAGGAACACCGAUGGCGAAGGCGGCUCACUGGCCCGGUACUGACGCUGAGGCGCGAAAGCGUGGGGAGCAAACAGG